UGGAACGAUUCAUUAGGAGCCUCUGG
Molecule: non-coding RNA, 26 nt
Filed under: Mus musculus (house mouse)
Lineage: Eukaryota; Metazoa; Chordata; Mammalia; Rodentia; Muridae
Source: RNAcentral